UGAUGUUGAAUUGAAGGGCCGCGGUAUUUUGACCGUGCGAAGGUAGCAUAAUCAUUAGUCUUUUAAUUGGAGGCUUGUAUGAAUGGUCGGACAAAAAGUUAACUGUCUCAUUUAUAUAAAUUGAAUUUAACUUUUAAGUGAAAAGGCUUAAAUGUACUGAGGGGACGAUAAGACCCUAUAAAGCUUUACAAUAAGUUAAUUAAAUUAUAAAUUGUUAGUAUAACUUGGUUUAGUUAUUAUUUGUUUCGUUGGGGCGACGAGAAUAUAAUUAUAUAUAACUGUUCUUUUAAGAAGAAAACAAGGUUAAUUGGAUUAGAAUUGAUCCUUUAAUAAAGAUUAAAAGAUUAAGUUACUUUAGGGAUAACAGCGUAAUUUUCUUUGAGAGUCCAUAUCGACAAGAAGGGUUGCGACCUCGAUGUUGAAUU
RNAcentral lists this ribosomal RNA (425 nucleotides) under Solenocera crassicornis. Its description in RNAcentral is "partial 16S ribosomal RNA". It matches the Rfam family "Bacterial large subunit ribosomal RNA", at positions 1913 to 2538 of the family's 2925-position model. Lineage: Eukaryota; Metazoa; Arthropoda; Malacostraca; Decapoda; Solenoceridae. The record is from RNAcentral.